RNAcentral lists this unclassified non-coding RNA (1718 nucleotides) under Penaeus chinensis. RNAcentral describes it as "g-protein coupled receptor Mth-like, transcript variant X1". Lineage: Eukaryota; Metazoa; Arthropoda; Malacostraca; Decapoda; Penaeidae. The record is from RNAcentral.
UACCUCAGAUAUCAUUCUUCAUUUCCUAAGAUGACGUAAUGUGGUCAUCCGCUAAUAAGCUGUAAUAUAAGGCUUUCCUGUCGACAACAGAGCUAGUGGAUAGUGGAGAGUGCCCUGAGGUUCAUGGCUUGUACUGUGUGGGACUGAGGAAAGAGUUACAAUAGAGGACUUGAGAACUUUCCAGGAGAAUAAAGCAAUAAUCUAGACUGAUGGUUCUUUGUGAAAAAGCAAACUUAAUAUAAUGGAUAUAAUGGACCACUUACUGAGGGUCAUUUUAUUCUUGCUAUAUUUUUCUAAGAAUGUGCAGUCACUCAGCUUGCAAAGGCUUGGGUCACGCGCGUCGGUAGAUAAGAAUUCUUCUGGAUUGUAUGUUCCCUCUUGUUGGGCAUCCCCACGUGAUUCCCUCCCCCAGGGCAGGGUCCCCUACGAUGUCCAGACCCGUGUGCCGCCUGUGCAGUAUCUAAAUACAUCUGCCACUGACAUAGUAUGGGGGCCUCAAGUGAAUGUUACGUGUACAACUGGUGAAAAGAAAAGUAUAUUUCUGAACUCGUCACACUUAUAUGUUGACGAUGGUAAAGUUAUGCUUGGCUGGAAGAUUGGUAGAAAUUCAGGAGAUACAUAUACAUACUGUGUUAACUCCCUGGCUACUACAGAAGCAAGCGAAAAUGGCCCAACUUAUACUGCCCUCUUUUGCUACACAGACCCGUGCAAGAGCAGAGUCUGUGUAGAAAAGUGCUGCCCUCGCGGGAAAUUACUGGGAGAACACGGUUGCAUAACAAACAAUUUGAAUCUGAGUGACUGGGUGCCUAACUUCCACGACCAUUAUGACGAACCUUUCUAUGUUAACAACAUUAAUGUUGAAGAAGUACAAGUGCCCCUUCAGAUGGAGGAAUUUACUCUUGAGAAAAAUGGUUCCCUCACAGCGUUUGUGAGUGCACCACCCCGAGGUUUUUGCAUAGACCACUCAAGCAUGAAUGGGAUGGUGACAGAAGUGGCUAUAGUGUACGGUGGCGACAUUUCUGAUUACCCUGACUGCUUGUGGAAAACUCAAGUCCUGGACAUCAUUCUGUUGAGUGUUUCGAACAUAUUUUUGGCACUGACUCUUUCGGUAUACUUGUGCGUCCCUCAUAUCCGAAGCAAAGACCACCACUGGCCUCUCAUAUGCAUGCUGUUGUCUCUCCUCGUGACAUUCAUCUUGCAUAUAUGUCUUAGGAAAGUGAGACAUCAACUGGACGCUAUGUGCAGACAUUUUGGUAUGUUGGUUCUCAUGUUCACUCUUGCAACAUUCUUCUGGCUGAACGUGAUGUCUUUCAGCGUCUGGUACAAGUUACGGUAUCCCCGUUUAUCUACCAUGGGCAGAAGAACCUUCGCGUUGUUCAAUGUCUACGCCUGGGGUGUACCGCUGAUCGUGUAUGGCGUAGGCUAUGCGAUGGAUGCCCUGGCUCCCGGCGACUAUAGCCCGAACUUCAAAAAGGAACACUGUUGGUUCGAAGACCACUGUACGUUAACCUCGCCAUCGUCAUGGGGAUUGCCUGGACCCUGGAAUUAUUUUCUGAUGCCAACACAUGUGGACCUGUCCAGGUACUGAUUGACGUUAUCACCGGUCUUCAUGGGCCCAUAAUAUUCGUUGUGACAGUUUGCAAUCGGAACAAGUGGAAGGAGCUGAGAAGCAGAGUAACGACUUCACUAAGAAAAAUCACCCGUGACUCGAAGCUGUA